AAAGCCUUAUGUCUGUUCACCUGGCUGAAUUAAUAUAUUUUGUUUCAUUUAACUUCACGAUGUAUUCAAACAUGUUGAAAGCAGCUACUUCUGUUCUGUUGAUUUGAAUUCAUGAAAGCGAAAAAUGCAUGCGUUCAUCAAUUAAUAUUUUUAUACGCGCUUUUCGCAUAAUAAAAUCUCUAAUUUUUUCCUUUGACGAUUAUAUUUAAGUAAAAUUCAGCCGAAGCUUCGUGGCUUUUUUCCAAACAAUCCUAUGGCAUUACUAUGGCAUUCUAUUACUAAAUUAAAACUUUCUUUUGUUUAAGGAUAUUUAUGGAAUCUCAUGACGAUUAUUCAAAGUUAUGAAAAUAAGUUGUCGUGUACCCAGCCAGAUGGUUACAAUGCACUCGGGUUUAAAAUGAUUGGUUGCGAUAUUUGAACAUGUUUUUAUUGAAAGUUUUUGAAAGGUUUCACUUGGUUUACUUAAAUUAAAAAAGUUUAAAAGCAAUAGCAAUGAAUUUUGAUUUUAGAGACGUUCCAUUCAAGAAGUUUUUUUUAAUAAUUCAUGAGUUGAUAUGUAAGAUGGUUUUGUAAACAUUAUUCUUCGAUUUUCUAUUGGCAUAAAAUUCAUCCAGUUAAAACUUUAACAAAUAUUUCAUGCAAACUAUUUUCGGUGUUUUAAAAUUAAGCUCAUAUAAUCACAAUGCACUUGAGAAUUUAAACUCAAUAAAGAACUUAAACUAAAUUCGAAAGCUAUUCAUAAACUUUUUCAAUUUUAUCUGAUUUGCGAAAUUUCAGUUUAUUCAACUGUUAAUCUUCUGGUAUUACGAAGAGUUCUCACAGCGCCAAGAAAUGAGUGAGUGUUUUUGAGCAUAAAACACCAGCCGUGCGCAAAAGAAGACUAGAUUUGAAAACAAAUUUAUAUUUCGACCUGAAGUUAUGUUAGGAUUCAUUUUAACUGAACUGAAGAAUACUCUACAAUUAAAUUUAUUAUCAUUAUUUUUACACAUAAUUUUUAACAAUGGUUGUUCAUAAAUAAAGACGACUUUAUUUUUUCUAUAAAUUGCUUAUCAGAUUUGAAGUCAACGAAAAGAAAAUUUAAAUUUUAUAUCGGCAACCGCAGGUAAAACUGUUUCAAUUGAGACAGCUUUUGAUCAUUAAAUUAUGCAGUAUUAUUGUUGCGUGAUAAUAUAUGAUAAGUGUUAUAAAAUAAAAGGAACUUGUGCGAACCAAUGAAUACGUUACUAUAAAUCACGCGGAAAUCCAACUAUUCAAUAAAUUUUUUCUUUAAUAAAAUAUGGUACGUCAUUUUUGAUUUAGUAAACGAAAACUCACCUGUCCAGGAAGUUUUGUUGUAGAUUUUUUUCUCGCGUAAAAGUGUUUCCAAAGUUUUUAGUUUUUAGGAAGUUAAGUUAGCUUCAAGUAAGUUUUAAAAUAUUAAAUAUGUUAUAUUUAUUAACACUAUUCUUUAAAUAAUUUUUUUAGAUAAUUUUUUUUUUAUUAUUAAAUAUUAUGUUUUGAUACGUCAUUCUACGUCAUUACUUAUAUAUAUAUAUUUUUUUAUAUUUUCAGAUUUUAUCGUACUUUAAUUUUGCAGAAUGAUGAUGUAGCGGAAGUACCGAUUUUAUAACAAAAGCAUUUAUCUAAAAUUACAGUAAAA
Non-coding RNA from Hydra vulgaris (swiftwater hydra), 1639 nucleotides. Lineage: Eukaryota; Metazoa; Cnidaria; Hydrozoa; Anthoathecata; Hydridae. The record is from RefSeq and is a predicted model, not a curated record.